AUGUUUGCAUUGGGAGAACACAUUAACUGAGUUAGCAGCUUUCCCAGUGCCCAGGUAGGUAGGCACCAAAACUAUGAUUUAAGCAAAGAGCAAUCAAUGGUUUGUACGAUUUAAGCUUUCCAUUUUUUGGUAGGAUUAGGAAGGGCAGAUUUAAAUAUAGGUUAAAGGAUAAUGAUAUAGAUUGCAAAAUGGAUUCCAUUACAA
RNAcentral lists this ribosomal RNA (204 nucleotides) under Triticum aestivum (bread wheat). RNAcentral describes it as "partial small subunit ribosomal RNA". Lineage: Eukaryota; Viridiplantae; Streptophyta; Magnoliopsida; Poales; Poaceae. The record is from RNAcentral.